This 492-nucleotide ribosomal RNA is filed under the name uncultured bacterium. RNAcentral's name for it is "partial 16S ribosomal RNA". It matches the Rfam family "Bacterial small subunit ribosomal RNA", at positions 29 to 507 of the family's 1533-position model. The record is from RNAcentral.
AGUGAACGCUGGCGGUAGGCCUAACACAUUCAAGUCGAACGGCAGCACAGUAAGAGCUUGCUCUUACGGGUGGCGAGUGGCGGACGGGUGAGGAAUACAUCGGAAUCUACUUUUUCGUGGGGGAUAACGUAGGUAAACUUACGCUAAUACCGCAUACGACCUACGGGUGAAAGCAGGGGAUCUUCUGACCUUGCGCGAUUGAAUGAGCCGAUGUCGGAUUAGCUAGUUGGCGGGGUAAAGGCCCACCAAGGCGACGAUCCGUAGCUGGUCUGAGAGGAUGAUCAGCCACACUGGAACUGAGACACGGUCCAGACUCCUACGGGAGGCAGCAGUGGGGAAUAUUGGACAAUGGGCGCAAGCCUGAUCCAGCCAUACCGAGUGGGUGAAGAAGGCCUUCGGGUUGUAAAGCCCUUUUGUUGGGAAAGAAAAGCAGCAGGUUAAUACCCCGCUGUUCUGACGGUACCCAAAGAAUAAGCACCGGCUAACUUCGUG